This is a non-coding RNA of Pelobates cultripes (western spadefoot toad), 386 nucleotides long. Lineage: Eukaryota; Metazoa; Chordata; Amphibia; Anura; Pelobatidae. The record is from the annotation of a GenBank genome assembly.
GGGACAAACCUGGGUACAACUUGUGUAUGCGUGUGGGUACCAUGUACCACCUAUACAGCGUUUUUCUGUAUUGCUCUAGUAAUGUUUCUGACUUAAUCAGUCGUCUGGUUGUCACUAUAGUGUACUCCCAUUGGUCUUUACGGGCACUGUAGGUCAUGUACCCAUUGCUUAGCUGGGCUAGAGUACGCAAAGUGUUUUGUGGGUAGCACCAGGAGAGUGGCUUACACGUUGGCUUCAGUGAGCCCUUAAUAGUCAUUUGCUCCCAGCUCAUUACAGCUAGGGUGGUGUCGUCUGGGGUGGUGUGCUUAUGCAUGAAGGAGCCCAAUUGCAUGUGGGAGAACUGUGAGGCCAUCGGUAUGUGAUAUUCCUCUUGUAGGGCUUGAAAG